ACUGGCUAUUUGGCUAAUUUCAAUUCAUUUCAUGGAAACCAACUCCUAGUCAAGCAACCAACACUCCAAGCUUCUGCUUCAUUUUCCUCUUGGAAGGUGUUGAGGAUUGUGAUGUCGAACACUAGCCGUUAAAGAAAUUCCGGCUAGUGCUCAUGUUACAAUUCUCACCAUUCGCCUAAACUUUUUACUGGUCAUCGAUUUCUUUGAGUCAUCGAUCACUUUGGUAGACCCUGGUAUAUUUAUAUCCUUCCUAUUUUAUUUUUUUUAUUUUUUCUUUUUAUUGUUGUUCUUCAUCUUAGUUUGGUUUAAGUCAUAUUAAUUGAUAAUUGAUUAAAUCGGAAACAAUAGCUUAGUAAUACGAUUAAUUAUUCAUGAUAAUGCAUUAAAAUCUGUUGAUUUUUCUUUUCCUUUUAUUUCUUUUCCUAUUUUUGUUUGUUUUUUGGAAGUUUCGUUGUCUGUAUUAGUUCAGAACUUUGUGGAUUUAGGCUUCUUGUGAAAUUGUGUUGGUUUUAGAUUAGAAAUUGGGCCUAGUAGUACAGAAGCCAGAAGAAAAUGGGGAAGGGUUCAAGCAUGUUGGGGUCUAGCCCAAUUAGUGGUACUUUCUAAAAAAGGUUAAUAACAUGAGUUGGAAGGUAAUUAGGGGAUUUGUAUAGAGAGAAUCUUUUAAAAACUGCCUAGGAAAGUUCAAGCAAUGUGAGAUUGGGGUGGAUUAACAAACAAGUUGUAAUUUCAGGGUUUAAAAUUAAAAAAAGAAAAAGAAAAUUGGGGAAUGGGUAAUGUUAAAAUCGAUUCUGUUGCCCUAGGGUCUUUCUAUAAAAGGUUUGUUUCCUUCAUUGUCAAUGCAGAGAUUAGAAUACAAAAAAAUUUGAAACGACUGAGAGAUAUACUCUGAAAACACUCAAGUUUUCGACAUUCUUUUGGGUGGAAAAUUGCUUGAAAUUGCCAAUUUGAUUUUCAUUGUUGGAAAAGUUUAAAAGCUUCAAAGAAUCUCUACUUUGUCUGGGGGUUUUAAAGGGUUUGAAAGGUGCUGAAUUUGCUGGUUGAUAAUUGAUGUUACUUUUGUUUAAGAGUUGUUGUUAUUGCUCUUUCCUUGCUGAAAGUUCUGUGUUUAUUUCUUGAUGUUCCAGGUAUGCCUUGGAUCUCGAAGUGACAUGUUGAAAUCUGCAAUGAGAAUGUUGAUGACACAGUAUUUUUUUGUUGAAUUCUAUUCUAGAUUAUUCAAUUAUGUAGUUAUUUAGCUCUUCUAUAUGUUUAUGUGUUCAUUUAUGUUAUUGCUAUUGAAGCUAAUUUGUAAGUUGGACAAGUACUUUAUUGGUUUAUGAAUUGGUGGAAGCCUUGUGGGACAUUUUUAGUUUUGCUUAAGUCCGUUGAACUCAGUAUGGUGUUUGGGAACUUUGCUUGAAUUGUUAAGUUAUAUGUAUGGGUUUGAAUGGUAAUCCCUAGUUGGAUUUCAAUAUCAUCUAAAUUUAGAAUA
RNAcentral lists this long non-coding RNA (1474 nucleotides) under Nicotiana tabacum (common tobacco). RNAcentral describes it as "long non-coding RNA (NTAB_LNC008305)". Lineage: Eukaryota; Viridiplantae; Streptophyta; Magnoliopsida; Solanales; Solanaceae. The record is from RNAcentral.